Non-coding RNA from Zootoca vivipara (common lizard), 2696 nucleotides. The record is from RefSeq and is a predicted model, not a curated record. Lineage: Eukaryota; Metazoa; Chordata; Lepidosauria; Squamata; Lacertidae.
CUCAGAUCAAUGCAGCUGGGAAAUUUCACAGUUCUGGUGGAGUGCUUUUAUACUCAGCACCUCCCUGCUCCCUGCAUUCCAUGCUGGAAUGAGAGCCAAGUACCAAGACAGAUUCUACUGCAUUUACCUUUUUAACCUAUGCUAUGGUUAAACUGCUCACUGGAAGGACAGACCUGAAGCCGAGGCUCCAAUACUUUGGCCACCUCAUGAGAAGAGAAGACUCCCUGGAAAAGACCCUGAUGUUGGGAAAGAUGGAGGGCACAAGGAGAAGGGGACGACAGAGGACGAGAUGGUUGGACAGUGUUCUCAAAGCUAUGAACAUGAGUUUGACCAAACUGCGGGAGGCAGUGGAAGACAGGAGUGCCUGGCGUGCUCUGGUCCAUGGGGUCACGAGGAGUCGGACAUGACUAAACAACAACAAUGGUUUAACAUUAAAGAUAAUAGAAUCAUAGAAUUCUAUAGUUAGAAGGAAUCCCAAGGACUUUCUAGUUCAAGCCCCUCGAUGCAGGAAUCUCAACUGAACAUCCAUGGCCGAUGGCCAUCCACCUUCUUCUUAAAAACCCUGAAGAUUUAUGGGCACCAAGUUCCCUUGGCAGUGAAGAUGAAGAUCAUAAUCUCUUCCCAGGACAAGGGAGGGGAGCUUCCAGUUCACCUACAGCAGGGGUGGCCAACUCCCAAGAGACUGUGAUCUACUUUCAGAAUUAUAAUCUGGCAGUGAUCUACCCCCAUUUUUGGGGUUUGGCUCAAAGUUGUUGAGCUUUUUUAGGGAGAAGGAAAGGGGGGGUGACCAGAUUUGGUAACCUUUUGGGGGGAGCACUGCCAAAAUACUUUUCUUACAGGGGACAACAGAAACUUUUAGAGAGUUUCUUCAGAGAGAGUUGCAUAAAAGCACUCACAAAACUGUACGCCGCACAAAACCUAUCAAGAUUUCUUAAAAAAUACAUGCCUUCAUCCAUUGUUAGUGUGACACCUGCAUCACCAUUUUGGUAACCAACUGUUCGAUAUCAGGCGAGUACUGUGUCAGGGCCAGCUUCAGGGAAUCCUUAAGGUGCUCAUCUGUCAUGUUUGAACGAUGCAUACCCUUUGUCAUUUUAAAAUAUGAAAAUGCAGAUUCACACAAAUAAGUAAAACCAAUACAUGAGUGUAAAAUUUCACUGCAUCUUCUCAAAUUUGGAAAUUUCUGUCUGGGCACAAACUUCCAAAAUGAUGAUUCUUCUGCACGGGCCCUCAGAAAAAUGUCAUUUUUCAGAGUUAAUAUCUCAUUUUCAAAGAUAUUUUCCACAACGAGUAAUUUGUACUGAUAGUAACAGCAAUUUUUUAAAUGUCCAAAUCAGAUUUGAAUGGAAAUGGCAUGUACUCUACAAUUAAUUCAAUUUUUUGGAAGUCACCAAAUCUUUUUUUCUAACUCCAGAAUAACAGAACCAAUUUCAGCCACAUACUUCUCUGUUUGAAAAACAAAGUCAGGAUUUUUCCCCAGAUGGUCCUGCAUAGGAAAGUGAUCAAAAAUUUUGAUUGUAAGGUCAGCCAUCAUUAGCUUAAAUUUUGUUUUGUAGGAUGAAACUAUUUUAAUCAUGUUGCCAAUGCAUUUACCUUUACCUUGUAGCUCAAGGUUCAUAUCACUAAGUUUACCUGUGAAACCAGGAAGGAAAGCCAGAUCAAACAACCACUUGUCAUCUUUUUAAGGGGGGGGGAACCCUAAAGUUGUUGACUUUUUAAGGAAAGGUUCCCCAGAGUUGUUGACCUUUUUUUAGGGAGCUGACACCAUGCUUACACAUUAUCUCUGCUUGGGAAAAGAAAACCUCAAUAUUUAAGCUACAUAGAAGAUCUACCCUUUGAGUAGUGAUUUAAAAAAGAAAGAAACAGAAGACACAACUUAUACACGCAGUUUAUUCUAUCUCAUUUUCUGAACUACUGCUAUCAUUUCCAUUUUCUCUUCCUCUUCCUUUUUGUCAUUUUUCUCAUGGACUUCUAAAAAACUGCUUUGGAGGAAAAUGGGGGAAAAAACAUUUUUCCAGUCCCCCCCCCCCCAGGCCCUCAUAUACGAUAGGCCCUGUUAUAAGAGUUGCAUUUUAUAGUACUCACUUUAUAGUACUCACUUUAGCGUUUUAAGCCCUAAAUAACUUAGGGCUCACAUAGCUGAAAGACCUCACAGGUGCAGAACCUCACAGGUGUUAGGAUCAGCAGAGGGGAAGCUCUUGGGAGUUUCACAGCCCUCAGAAUUUGGGGGGGGGAUGUAGCCCAGAUUGUAUUCUCUGUGGAAUCCCCUAAAUUGUGGAAUUCCCUCCUCACAGGUAUGUGUUUGGCUUCUUCACUAUUCAGCUUUUUUCAGGGCCCACUCUAUUCCUUUGAUUGCUAACUGUUUUAAAUUUUGAAUUUUGAAUUGUAACCCAAUCUGGGACAUGUUGGUAAAGGGUGUGUAAUUAAUGAUGAUGAGUACAACAACAACAACAAUGUGAAAUAGUAGAAAAUGCUUCAGGUAUGUGCAUACAUUUUUGUCACUAAUAUUAGUAAUCAAGAGGAAAGGAGAGCAAAAUUUUCAAGUUCAGAAGUCAUCGUGAUUUCUAGCACUUAUUACAGCCCUGAUACCUAUGGCUGUUGUUUGGUGGUGGUGGGGAGCUGGGAGGUAGUUUAUUCCCAUGAAAGCAAAUGUGCUGACGUGUGGGGCUGGUAUAUACCAGGUUUCCCUGCCCCUUUGA